Molecule: ribosomal RNA, 497 nt
Filed under: uncultured bacterium
Lineage: Bacteria
Description: partial 16S ribosomal RNA
Rfam family: Bacterial small subunit ribosomal RNA
Source: RNAcentral
GAUGAACGCUGGCGGCGUGCCUAAUACAUGCAAGUCGAGCGAACAGACGAGGAGCUUGCUCCUCUGACGUUAGCGGCGGACGGGUGAGUAACACGUGGAUAACCUACCUAUAAGACUGGGAUAACUUCGGGAAACCGGAGCUAAUACCGGAUAACAUGUUGAACCGCAUGGUUCAACAGUGAAAGACGGUCUUGCUGUCACUUAUAGAUGGAUCCGCGCCGCAUUAGCUAGUUGGUAAGGUAACGGCUUACCAAGGCAACGAUGCGUAGCCGACCUGAGAGGGUGGUCGGCCACACUGGAACUGAGACGCGGUCCAGACUCCUACGGGAGGCAGCAGUAGGGAAUCUGCCGCAAUGGGCGAAAGCCUGACGGAGCAGCGCCGCGUGAGUGAAGAAGGUCUUCGGAUCGUAAAACUCUGUUAUUAGGGAAGAACAAAUGUGUAAGUAACUAUGCACGUCUUGACGGUACCUAAUCAGAAAGCCACGGCUAACUACGUG